UCUCAACUGUUGAGAUAUAAGGUUACCUUUCUGUCUUUGUAACUUCCAGAUCUUCAUAAAAGGAAAUCGCAAAAUUAAAAUUUCAACCAUAAAGGUGAAAGAAUUGUGUAAAAUAAGCUCUGAAGUUUCCUUAAAAUCUAACAUUUUAUAUUGUAGAUGACCAGUAGGUUUUAGAUUAUUGCACUGGAUAUUAACAUUUUAAUUCUUCCAAUUUGUUGGAUACUUAGCCGAACAAUUUAUAUUGAAAAUAACAAGAGAUUUUAAAAUCAUGUAUAUCUGACUUACCCUUUGGCUUGGAGAAACAGACACAGGUCAAUUAUAGAUUAUUCAUUUGUUAUUUUAAUUAAAUUAUAUGGACUGUGGCUUGCUAAUGCUCAAGACAGAAAAUGAAAGUGUUUUCUGCCCUUUUCCCUACACUAAGGGAUUAUUGAGAUAAUGACCUAAUAGUCUGGGUUGUGUAUAUGUCAGAAAAACUUCAUUUUAUUAAUAAGUGAUACUACAGAUACUGCCCAUUUAUUAUAUUGAUAGCAGCUGUGGAUAUGAGAAGAGUGGACCUAUAUAUGUCCAUAUAUAGGUAUAACCAAUAUAUAUGUAUAACAUAUAUAUGUCCAUAUAUAUGUAUAACCAAACCACAGGUGUUUUUUUGGAAGUCAUAUUAUACAGGGAGUUGACAGAGGUGUGAGCUGGACUUUAAGAAGCUGCACAUAAGAUGCUAGUAUGAUCAAGCUGGAAUGGACUUAGACAAUUUGAAACAACUUUUCUCAGUUUUCAGAUGAGGAAACUGACGGGUACCAAGCUUAAAUGACUUGACGAAGCUCAUAGAAGAUUAGCAGGUAGUAGAAUAAUGACUGCUGACUCCUAAUUCAGUGGAUCUUCCCUGGCCACCGUUUUGUAUUGAGCUGCAAUGCUUCCUUGACUGUUCUCCAUGCCAGAUUCUUAUCAAUGAUCUUUCACCUAAGAAACAGCAAAGAUUCUGGCAAGCACACGAUCUAGAGAUACAUCUUAUUGCGAUUUUUCACAAAAAUCAAAAGAAGAAAGAAGGCUUAGCUGGUGUUUAAUUAUUGUUAUUUUUUUCAAUAGGGAAAUCUGUACACAAUGAUUUAUCUCCAGUGAUUUGCCAUUGAUCAAUUUUUUUCUCAUUUCAUUUUCUAUUUUUUUGUUUUUUGUUUUUCUUUAUUUUUUAUUUUUUUCUCCUUUUUCUUUUUUUAAAUUUUCUGUUUAUCACAAAUGAUCAUGUAAUUAUAUGUUAAUACUAUGUAACCCCAGUGUUUUCAACUGUUUGUGAUUCAAUGUUACCCAGUUUUCUUUUCUUAAUUUUAAAUAAAUUUGAAAAAUUAUCUUAGAGUGUUUUGAGCCUGUGUUGGUACAUUUAGUUCUAGUUCAUUGUGGUAAAUCCACUUCAGUUUCUAAGUUUCCACCCUUUAGUAAAGACAUAUUUCUAAAUUUGGUUUAUAUCCUCAGUUACAAAAGAUUCUAACUGCUAGUUUUGUGACAGCAAUCACACAUACCAUCAAGGGAUGGGGCAGGCAGUUUUGGAAUGUGCUGAUGCUAGCAUUUUUAUAAGCCUAUGGCUUUUAUAGUCUAAAUUGUUCUUAUUUCUAUUAAUGCUUCAAUUUUUGACAAACACACAACCAUAGAAACAAAUAAUAAAUUUGUUUUUUGGGAAUUAUCCAGGAUUCUUGGUUAAGUGGGGAAUUUAGGCUUUGACAGCAUAAAGGAUCACGGAUAAGUAUUUUUCACGGUGGCUCUAAUUAUAAUGCUGAGCAUGUGGCAGGCACAGAAAUAUUUACUCAUUGACUGAAUAUAGCACAUCGUAAUGUUGAUUUUUUUCCAACAUAAUUUUAGAGCUAGGCAUAUUGUAUUCUAUUACACUAGACUAUAUAUCAUUCUUAAAUAGAACCAGCCUUGCUAGAUAACACAUGUUGGAGGAGAGGCCCUUCUUCUUAGCCCUCAGUGUUUCCAUCUAUGGGGAAGAAGUUCCACCAUACUAACAUUACUAUCGUCUCUCCACCUGCUCACUCACUUCUCCCCAAGGGAGGGGUGUUCGAUAUGGUUUCUGAGCUUGGAAAGAAAACUCAGGCAUGUGUAACAUGGUUCCUUCAGUCCCAUGACCCACUGUCCACAAAUGGGCUGCUCACAGAGUGCAUGCCUUCACCCUUGUUCCUGGCCAUGCAGGAAAUUGUAUGAAACAGUCCUAGCUGAAGCCUGAGAUUUUCCUGCAUUGCCUAGUCCUGGUGGGUAUCUGUCUACUCCUGGAGUUUGGAUUGGAAAGUCCACAUGCCUGAAGGUAUAAACCUAUUCUACAAAGGGGUGUUUUCUAGAAUGAAGGUAAUAUUUUUAUCUUACAUUUGCAGAAAGAGACAGAACAAUGUUAUAGGUGAGUGCAUGGACAAUGACCUCAAACAGCUAAGAUUCAAACCCCUGCGUUGAAUGAUUGAAUUGAAAUGAUUCAAUGAGCUAAUGUACAUAAAGCAUCCAGAAUGUUGCCUGGCACAAGGUAAAUGCUCUACAAAUGUCUGAUAUUAAUGUUAGCCUUUUGUUUCCCCGUUCAGUUGGUUCAGAACGUAGACAUUAUGUACUGGCUCUGCCUCACACCUCAAUAACAGAGAUUUCUUAAAGAAUAACUUAUAAACUCUUUUCAACUUCAAAUCACUCCGUGAUUAGGCUUAUCUUAUACCUUACUAGUUCUUAGCACCAGAAUUAUUUUUCCAAUUGUAGAACUAAUCAUGUUUCUCUGAAAUUCUUAAUUCGUGCAGACCUCUCAGUGGGGCUUCAAACUCUCACAGUCAGACCUCAGCAUACGUUUCCAGCCUUGUCUUCCUUACACACUGUGCUUUGGCACGAGUCUACCAUUGCUCACGGUUCCUGAAUCACAUGCAGUCUUCACACCAUGCAGCUUUGCUCUUUCUGCUUUGAGGGCUUUCCCCCUGCUCUGCUUGAUAGAUCAGAGCCCACCCUUCAUGGCCCAGCUCACAGGCCUACUCCUUUGUGAAACCUUUUCUUCUUACUCCCCAUUCAUGGAGGCCUCAUCUGUUGUGAAAGCAAAAGAACAUCUCAUUGCUGCUGUAACCCUUACUCACUUGAAUUUUAUGAAAAUUACGUGAACUCUGAGCUUCUGAAGGUCUUGGCCAGAGGGUCAGGUUCUCUUUACUUUUGUAUACUCAUCUCACCCAGCCCCUAACACAGUGACUUGCUCUUCAAUGAUUACCCAAGUAUGAGUCCAUCAAGGAAUUCUAUCAGAGUCUUUUCCAAAAUACCAACCAAACACAUCUACCUCUUUCCAUCUCCAUCUGAUCACCAUUAUCUCUGACUGGGUCUACUGUGGAAGCCUCCUAAAUUUUCUCCCUGCCUCUGUGCUGGCCCUAAUUUGGGUUAUUCCCUAAAUGGCCAUUGGAAUAAUGGAGUUAAGAUAUAAACCAAAUUAGGUUACCUCCCCACAUAAUACUGAAACCUCAAUUUUGAUCUUUCUGCACCUGCCCCUCUUUCACAUCUCAUAUUUUAUAAUCCCCCAUCUGCACCCUCACUCACUGAACUCUACUGACACUUCUCUCCUUUUCUCCUUUUGGUUUCUCAGACAGCCCAAACUUUUCUCAACCUCAGUCUCCUGCACACUCUUUUCCUUCUCCAUGAAAUGCUUAAGUCUUAACUUUUUUUUUUUUUUUUGACAGGGUCUUGCUCUGUCUCCCAGGCUGGAGUGCAAUGGCAUGAUCAAAGUUCACUGCAGCCUUGACCUCCUGGGUUCAACCAAUCCUCCUUCCUCAGCCUCUCACGUUGGUGGGACCACAGGCAUGCACCACCAUGCCCAGCUAAUUUUAAUUAUUUUUUUUUAGAGACAGGGUGUCACCAUCUUGCCCAGGUUUGUCUAGAAUUUCUGUGCUAAAGUGAUCUUCUCACCUUGGCCUCCCAAAGUGCUGGGAUUACAGGCCAUGAGCCAUGAUCUAGGCCAUGACUAGAUAUUGUUGUCCUUUAAGUUUCAGAUUACAAACCUCCUCCUAAGACACCCCGGCCCUCAGUCUAAGUUGAACACCCCCUCUGCGUAAUUCAUUAUACUGUGUAGUUGUAACCCUCAGAGCCUCAUUGUUUUUUUCACUGCAUUCAUAAGGAUUGGUAACAAUCUUUCUUCAGUGUGGGUUUUCCAAUGGUAUUAUCUGUUUUCUCCACUAGGCUAAAACUCCAUGAUGGCAGGAAUGAAGCCCAUCUUGUUAUCACUGUGUCCUGAGAAAUGAGCACAAACAGGAUGCAUGAGAGAACUGUGCUCAGUAAAAAACAGUUCACAGAUAGACUCUGAGGUCUUAAAAAUUCUCCAAGCAGAAACAGGACCCAGAGAGUACCUGGUUAAAGUCCUUCAUUUUACAAAGGGGAAAAUCAAGAUCCAGGACUUGUAAUGAGUUCUCCUAAUGCCCCAAGUCAGUGUCUGCCCAAAGGUCUCUGGUUUUUAGGGUAUCCUUCAUUAUCAAGUUCUCUUGCUUUAGGCUUCUGGAAACUAGCCAAUAACUGUAGAUUAUUAAUAAAGUAAUAUAACAGGAAAAUCAAAUGCUUCCUACACAACCUUUCACUGAGAAAUGAAAGCAAAGCCUAAGGAAAUGCCAUCUGACUAAUUUCUAACCAAUGCAAAUCUUCUCUCUUAGUCACCCCUAACAAAAAUGUCAAUGUUCUAUAAGCACAGUGAGAGGUGCCAAGGCCCAAGGCAGCUUUUUAGAUCUGCUCUGCCUCACAGAAGGGUCUAGGAUCUACUGCACAGUGGAGUGGCUCAGAGUUGCACUUGUUUAUUGGGCAAAUAGAGAAAAUCCAGAACCUUCAACAAACACCCUCUUUCUUCUAUGCCGUGGAGGGUUUUCUACCAUUAUCUGUGGCAUAUUUGUUAAUUGGUUGCCUUUAUUCAUGUUCCUGCUUCUUUUCCUCUUCAAGCCUCAAUGUUGUCAUCUCUAAAAUAGAGUGAUUGAUAUUGGCAGUCUUUUUAGCCUUGGCAUUCUUUGACCAGGAUUCUCCAAACAGAAACAAGAUCUAGAGAGUACCUGGUCCUGUUUCUGCUGUACAGUUAGUUCUCAACUUCAAAGGAUAAAUAUGAUUUGCUGAGCACAUUACUUAGGAUCUACCAUGCAUGGGAAAUUAGAUAAUCAUUUCAGCUCCUAAUUGCAUCCUCUAUUGUCCUGAGCAAGUAUAAGAUGCUGGUGAAUCCUGGAGCUAACACUUAGGUUUUCUGUUCCUUAGGACUGUAUUGUCUGCUAGACCAUUUAUUCAAAGUGGGAGGAUGAUGUUCUAAAAGCCAAUGAUAAAGCUCAUGGCAAUGCAGGGUAUAUCUGAUGGCAUGGAAUGCUUUAGGAUGGCCAAGAUUGCCCAUCAAAUGCCAAGUCACCGAAGGUACUCAUUUAUUCUAAAAAUAUCCACUAAGCAACCCUUUCUAAUAUGUGUUGUUCUAGGUUCUGGGAAAUAAGAAAUCAUUAGAAAAAGAUUUCUGCCUUCUAGAAGUACACAGUCUAAUGGUGAGAUAGGCAGGUAAGCUAUUACAACACAGUGAGAUAUGCACACGAGUAAAGCUGUUUUUCUUUGGUGUGCUCACAGUAAAGGGUAUAACUAACUCCAUCUGUGGGCUUCAGAAAGGGCUUCCCAGAGGAGGAUAUUUGAACUAGCUCUUGAAGGAUGAGAAAGAGUUUGCUUCAUAGAGAUAAAGGAGAGGAUAACAGCAGGUAGCAAAGCAGCAGUACACAAAGGUACUGAGUCCAGGCCUGGUCUCCUUUGGAAAUGGAGGAGGAGUAUAAGAGAAUUUUGUGGUAACAUCAGUAAGGAAAAAGAUGAAGGAGGGAGAGUAGAAAUGAGGCUGGAUGGGCGGUUUUGGAGGCCAACUGAGGAGGGUCUUACAUGCUAUGUUAACAGGCCUAGACUUCAUUCUAUAUGCAAACAGGGAGAUCCGGACUAAUGAGGGGUAUGUGUGUGUCCUUGUAUGUGCAUGUGCACGAAGGUGACAUAAUCAGGUAUGACUUUUAGAUGAUACUUGGUGACAAAGGAAGGGUGGAGAAUGUAAACUAGAGAAGCCUGGGAUAAUAUGGCUGCUUGGGAAUGGUGAGAAUUCUGGCAGCUGCAUUGCUGAUGAGUAAAGUGGAGGGAAGCUUUGGAAAAGUGUUUAGGGCCAAUCAGUAGAAGGUCAUACAUUCAUACUAAAGGGUUUGUUUCAAUAAGUAUAGCUAAAGAAUCCCACUCAUAGCUUUUUUUCCUGUGGUUUACAUGACAGUUAUUAAUGGCUCUCCUACUAGGAGCCUGACAUCAUGGUGAGCAUCGAGAAAGGAAUAACCUAAGCUGAAGACACGCCUUUUCAGGAGGCCAAGUUCCACGUUCUGUGCAUGCUUUUGGCGAAAGUCAGGUAAAGCCUCCAGAAAUGCAUGGUCUAUUCUCUCGGACCAUAUGGCUGUGGGCAAACUCUGGCUUCUUGGAGCCUCCAUUAGCCACCUAGGGAAAGGUAAUUGGCUUUAUGUUUGGCUCCAUCACUGCUGGCGACAAGCUCCACUGCAUUCUCAAGCAGUAGAUGAAAUACAACUGUGCUCCUGAAUGCAGCAAAGGAAAGAGAACCCAACUGGACCAGUGUGAAAUUGGGACCUUUGGAGGCAAGAAUGCACAUAUUUAUAAAUGAAUAAACAUAAUUUUUCUCUCUUCUUCCCAUUGGCAGCAUAUCUGAAGGCCCUGACUCAACAGUAGUGGGUCUUAAUGCUUGUGCUUGUCCACCCUUCUCGGCAGUGAUUGAUUUCAUUGUUGGCUUGUUUUCAUGACUUGAAUGUGCGAUCUUCAGAGGGCCUAAUUCCUUGCAAGUUCCAUUUGAGGGUGGAAGAGCUAGAACAAGCUAUAACCAGUAGACAACUCCGUGACUCAGGAGCUUAAGCAUGUGACUAAUUAGUAAGAAAAAAUGUGGUGAAGAUUUGUAGUUAAUAAGAAGGAAAGAAGAAUCACUGGGGCUAGAAUUAUGCAAGCUUUUGUUUCCUUUUGGGACUAUAUCAGAACUAUGAGAGAAGAAAGGCUACCUUUUACCUUUGAGGAAUUUUCAAAGCCUUUUUUUUUUUUUUUGGUUGGUUUGUGACUGACAAAGGGCACAAUUUCAACACCUCAGAAAAAUGCCUCAUCAUUUCCUCUUGUGAAAUCUGGGUGCUUCUGAAUGAAUCCAUGUUAGGAAUGUGUACUUCCAUCCAUUAAAGUCAAUGUCCAGUCUCAUUUUGGGCCAGAGGCUGUUACUAAGUUGUAGUACUGGUGAGAAAAGGACAGAGCAUUUACCUUCCCUGGGUAUCCUGUGACCUACAUGUGUCCUUGCAAGGCAGGGAAAUGUUACUAAUUAAGAGCAUAGCCUUUCGUCAGAUGGGUUCAGAUCCUAACACAUCCUCUUUCUGGUUACAGGACAGUCCUCUCUGAGCCUCAGUUUUCUCAUCUCUAAGAUGAGGCUAAUUAUACCUACUUCCCAGGGGGGUACUAAGGAUAAAGUAACAACACAAGAAAAUUUUUUAUCCUUGAUUUUCUUAGCUGGAAAAUUAGGCUAGAAAGACCUCCAUCCUUGGGGUAUUUAAAAUAAAAGGACAAACAUAUGAUGAGUCUAAGUGAUCAAUACAUUGUGGCUUUUGUACUUACUAUUCUGAAACAUGGGUGUGGCCUAGAUACUUUCCAAAAUUCUGCCCUCUCCACCUAGCAAAAUGACAACCAGACUUACAGAUAUGCCAACAAGCUAGUGUUUAAUAAUGGUGUUUGAUGAUAAAUGGCAUUUCUUUUCGACAUUUGUCUCUUUUUAAAACUUGGUGCUCUUAAAUGCAUCAUUGGAUAAGUGAUGACUGUUCCCAUUCGCAAGAAGAGACCUGGAAUCUAAGCAUGAAGGACCUGUCCUGAUGUUGAGAAGUGUGGAUCACAUUUAUUUGUAAACUUAGCUUCUUGCUCGUCUCAUGGUUGCUUUUUUUUCUUUUUCCUUUUUCUUUUUUUUUUUUUUUUUUUUUUUUUUUUUUUUGAGAGGGAGUCUCACUCUGUCACCCAGGCUGGAGUGCAGUGGUGUGAUCCCGGCUCACUGCAACCUCCACCUCCCGGUUUCAAGCAAUUCUCCUGCUUCAGCCUCCCCAGAAGCUGGGAUUACAGGCACGUGCCACCAUACCCGGCUAACUUUUUUUUUUUUUUUUUUUUUUUUUUGGGAUUUUUAGUAGAGAUGGGGUUUUGCCAUAUUGGUCAGGCUGGUCUCGAACUCCUGACUUCGUGGUCCGCCCACCCGCCUCAGCUUCCCAAAGUAUUAGGAUUACUGGCGUGAGCUACCGCGCCUGGCCUUAUGGUUUUUCUCAUUUUUUCUUCCCUUCCUCCCUCGAUUCCUUUGUUCCUUUUACUCUACCAUGCCUACUGUAAAGAAUAAACAAUAGAUUGGAUCUACUCUCAAGAUGCAGGAUAGAGAAAACCAUCAUUUAUUAAAUGGCAUCUACACCGCAGGCUUUGUACCAGGCACACACUCCACUGUUCCCAGUUAUCCCUUACUGCACCCCUAGAGGUAUAUGUUUUCCCAGAAAAGAUAAACAAGUUGCCCAAAGUCACAUAUCACAUAGCUAGCAAGCGAACAUGGGGCUGAAAUAAAACACUGCCCAAUUCCAAAAUCCAUAUACUUGUUUCUUCAUGUUUCCCUAUGAAAAUGGCAAAGGUGAGGAGUGUGUGGUGUGUGUGCGUGUGCGCGUGCAUGUGCGUGUGUGUUUGCACAUGGAAAAUUCCAAAUAUCACAACUUCUCUAUAGACACUAGACUCAUUCUUUGGCUAUGGCUGUGUCCGUUAUCCCAAACUCUAUCUUUACCCCAGUUUUUACACUUGCAAAAGUAGAGAAACUUUAAGGUCCACCAGCUUUUACUAACCUCCCUCUUGCUCUGAUAGCUGUGUAAUAAUUUUUGUAUCCUUCCCAGUGGGUUCCCAGUCUUUUCAUCUGCUAGGACCAUCUGGUAACUCAUCACCAAACAUGGUGCCUGACAGCAUCACUGGUGCCCUGCAAAUGUCCACCUGAUAAAUGAGUGAAUUAAUGAAUGAAUAAGAAAAUGAAGGAUACUGGCUGCCCCUGGCCAACUAUAUCUUGGCUUUGGCUUGUCAUUCUAGAUUUGUGAUACUGGCUUCUAGCAGAAGCUUAAAGCCUCUUUUUUGUUCUUUUGUUCCUCUAAUGUACUCCCCCUGCCCCUCCACCAAGAUGGGAAGGAGGGCUGAUCUGAGCAUUCAGGUUUCAGAAUGCUAAUUGGAUAGCAGCCAAUUAGAAGUAGAUCCGUAAGGAUUUAAUUAGACUUUCUGGGUAGAUUUGGAUAUUGCUUUCAAAAUGAAAAGGCCCCAAAUCCAGGUUCCCCUGGAUUAUAAUAGUUUUAUGGCUCUGCCCUGCUUUAAUUUGAGGCUAGUUGGCAAUACCCUGUCCAGGAAAAAGGAAUCUUCCAUGUAGUCCUGUCUGUUCUACUGAGGUCUACAUUUGGGUUUUAGCAAACAAUUCAGCUAAUAUAUAUUAUUUUUCUUUGUUCUCAAGGAUUUAAUGGCAAGAUGCCAUUAUAGACAAGAACAGGAUUCAGACACUUUCGUGUUAUGUGUUCUUGUCCAAAUACUGUGUCACUCUGCACUGGCAUCCCAAUCCCACCAACACCUUUAGCAGGAACUUCCUGUUUCAAUAACAUUUCUCAAUACUCUACCUGAUUGCUUAGAAUCCAUGAGACAGCCAUAUUCUCCAUGUCUAGGUCCCUAUCUUAUUUUUGUUGAGAUGGUGUUAAGACUUUAUUUGUGAGGCUUCUGGGGAAGAGGAGUAAGGUAUUGAUCCCACUGACUGGAUAAUUUGGGUCUCAAAAUGGAUAAUAAAUAAGCAUUACAUAUUUUGACCACUUCCUUGGAGGAGAACUUCUUGGAAUGUGCACCAUGUCCGCUGCACUUUUUUUGCACAGAUAUCUAAGUUGGAGAAACAUACUACUAGAUAAAUCAAUUUGUUCUCUUAGUACUCAUGAUAUGGUUCCUGGGAACUUCUGAUUCACCAAAUUAAUCUUGGCCAGGUACAUACCUGGCAGGAAUCCAAAAAUUCCCCAAGUCUCCUUGAAGUUCAGGAUCAUCAUUCUUAAUAAAUACACCGAGGGAAAAACCAUGGAGAGUUUGUCCCAGAUGCUGUGAAUCUGGCCCGGGGUACAUGAAGAAGUCCUUAAUUGCAGUCAUUUACAUGGUAGAUUCUCUAUAAUCAUUUAAUUUGCUAUAGGUCUAUGAUUUUUAGUCCUUCUUCUCUAAAUGAUUGAACAUGUAUAAUUCCCAUUUCAAUCAUAUUACCUGGAUGAACAAAAGUAACGCUAGACUCAUUCAUGCAUUCUGGUUGCCAAGGAAAAGGAAAAAAAAAACAAAACAAUCAACAGGAUGUUUAAACUGUCUUAGGGCAACUUCAGGCCAUAGUCACUGGUGUUCUUGCAGACUAUGAGAUAUUUUACAUUCUGAUAAGGGAUAAAAAUUCGUGCCUCACAUGGCUCCCAUCACACUAAGAUCUUGCAACAAUAACACUACUGAUUCAGACAUUAAUCUUAAGUAUCCAGGGAGCCCUAAAACAUUGUAUCCCACUAGCAAGGACCAUGGUAAUUGCCACGUAAAUCCCCUCCAUUAUGUGGCCCUUAUUAUGACCAGCCAGCCAAGGCUUGCCUUUAAAUCAUACCAAUUGAACCGAGCCUUGUAGAAACACUAUCACCUACGCAUACCUCUGCUUCUUUUCAUUAACCUGCUAUCCUCUUUACAAAUGGGAUUCUUCACCCACUCCCUUCUUCUAGAUUAGCAAUGCCCUGUUAAGUAAACGAACACGAAAUUCAAAGGGAAACAGGAGCAAUCAUCAUUACCAGCUGCCGUGUUAAGCAUUGCGAAAACGCUCACGAUUCACAGAAAAAUCCAUGCUGUUCUUUGAAGGCAUUCAAGCCUUAAUAGCUAGCUGGAUGAAUGUUUAACUUCUAGGCCAGGCACUACUCUGUCCCAACAAUAAGCCCUGUACAUUGGGAAAGGUGCCGAGACAUGAACUUUGGUCUUCUCUGCAAUCCAUCUGGAGCAUUCACUGACAACAUCGACUUUGAAGUUGCACUGACCUGGCCAGCCCUGCCACUUACCAGGUUGGCUCUGUAUGGCUAAGCGUUUUCUCCUAAAAUCCCUUGAAAACUGUGAGAAGACCAUAAGAAGAUCAUAUCUUUAAUUCUAUUUCACAAGUCACACAAUAUUCCAAUCAAAUACAGAUGGUUGAGAAAAGUCAUCCAUCUUCCCUCCCCACCCUCCCACAGCCCCUCAACCACUGCCCUGAAACUUAUAUGCUGUUAUCCGCAGCUCCAUCUGGAGCAUCACAGCUACUGUCAACCCUGACGCUCUUUCUGAAAAAACACCGGAUGGACAUCAGAACUAUUUCUUUAAGGAUGUUACUGAGCCACACAGGAAAACUUGCCUUAUGAUUUUGAAUGCACGGAUCUGAUUUGACUAAACAUGAUAACUAGAGAAUCACCCAAUCUACUCCCAUUUUCAACUCUAAAUCAUCAGAGUGUCUCAAAUCCAAAGCACACACAGACCAGCCUGGCCAACACGGUGAAACUCCACCCCUACUAAAAGUAUAAAAAUUAUCCAGGUGUGGUGGCGGGCGCCUGUAAUCCAAGCUACUUGGGAGUCUGGAGGCAGGAGAAUCCCUUGAACCUGGGAGAUGGAGGUUGCAGUGAGCAGAGAUCACACCACCGCACUCUAGCCUGGGCCACAAAUCAACAACAACAACAACAACAAAAAACAAAGCGCACACAGAGACUGAGGUCCUCUUUGGCAUUGAGAAGAUGGCUAUGCAAGUCCCAACUAGCAAGUGCAAACUUCCCAGCUUCACUUCUGCCAGUGUCCCUUCACCCCUUCUCAACCCCACUGGGAGGCAGGAGGGUGCUUGACAAUAACAGCCUUGGCAUCACUCUGCCAGGGUGUAAUAGGAACUGUUACAAUUCUGAGAUUCUGUGUAAGCACUGGCCUUUCUGCCUAGAAUGCCUUCUCCUCUCUUUUUUAACUGCAUGCUCCUAUUUAUCUUUCAAAGCCCGGAAAAAAUAACACUGCACACGGGAAAUGCUCCCUUCCUACUGCAGUCAUUUAGAUGACUCUAUGCCAUUCCAUUCAUUUCUCUUUCCUACCACAGAAGUGCUUUGAGAUUUUGGAGUCAGACUGCUUGAACUUGAAUCCUGGCCCUCUCAUCAGAGACUUGACUUAUUUUAGGCAAGUUAUAUAACCAAUUUUACCUCAGUUCCUUACCCAUAAAAUGGGUCUAAUGAGAGUACCUACCACACAGAAUUUUGAUGAAAACUGAAUGAGAUGAAGGCCUUUAAGGCAGUGGUCCCCAACCCUGGGGACACAGACAGGUACCAUUUUGUGGCCUGUUAGGAACUGGGCCACACAGCAGGAGGUGAGCAGUGGGUGAGUGAGAUCAGCGUUAUUUACAGCUGCUCCCCAUUGCUCACCUUACUGCCUGAGCUCCACCUCCUGUCAGAUCAGCAGUGGCAUUAAAUUCUCAUAGCAGCACAAACCCUGUCAUGAACUGCACAUGCGAGGGAUCUAGGUUGUGCGCUCCUUAUGAGAAUCUAAUGCCUAAUGACCUGUCACCGUCUCCCAUCACCCCUAGAUGGGAGUGUCUAGUUGCAGGAAACAAGCUCAGGGCUUCCACUGAUUCUACAUUAUGGUGAGUUGUAUAAUUAUUUCAUUAUAUAAUACAAUGUAAUAAUAAUAGAAACACAGUGCACAACAAAUGUAAUGUGCUUGAAUCAUCCCCAAACCAUCCCAGUCCACGGUCUUCCACAUUUUGUCUUUUCACAAAAUUGUCUUCCACAAAACUGGUCCCUGGUGCCAAAAAGGCUUGGGACCACUGCUUUAAAGCCUUUGCAUAGUGCUUAGAAUUGAGGGGGAAAAAAAAAACAAAAACAAUGUAGCUAGUUGCUACAAUCACUAUAUUGGUGAGUUUCAAAAGGAAAAGAAUUCUGUCCCAUUUAUGCUUGAGCCUUGAGUUGCUAACCAAGCCUGACACAAAAUUACUGUUGAAGGGAUGUGUGAGUCCUAAUUGAAAUGAGGCCUCUUAAGGGAAUUGUGGACCAAACCCCAAGCAGGCAGAAAGCCGUAUCUUAAUUAUUGCAAGUAUUUCAGGCAAGGUGUGGAUGGCCAUUUGAAUUCAAGCAGACUAGGACCUGGGAUGAGAAAGAAGGUGUGUACGUGACUUGAUCUUUGAACUUUAGCUCACCAUCUGGAAGAAGGCUGAGUAUUCUCUGCACUCACAUAGUAGCUAAUGCCUACUCCCCAGCCACCCACAAUUCUUUCUGUAGGAAGGCUCGCUAGAAUACUUUGUGAUAUUGGAUAUUAGUUCCAUAUUCUACUGUGUAUCUUAGUUCAACCAAAUUGUAAUCAUCUGAUAUUUAUUUCUUUUAAUAUAAAUAUAAGUAUAUUAAGUCUUGGCAUGCUUGCUCAGUCUCUCUCUCUCUCCCAUUCCUCCCCGCUCCCCUCUCUCUUUCCCAACAGGCUUGGAAAGCAGGCAUCACCAUGCCUAUUUAACAGUUGGGGUCCCUUGGCCACCAGGUGCUGGAGUAGGAAUCUGAGCCCGGACAUGCCUGAUCUGUAAAUUUUGUGUUUUCCCCACUGUGCUGGGCAGAUCACAGCUAUCAGCGCCAAAUUCAUAGAAGGGGCGCCCCCUGUGGUCAAUUGAGGGAUUUGUGUUUGAGGUAGAUCUCAAGAAGGAAUGGGUGGGGAACUUAGCCUAGGACAGAGCAGAAAGGAGCCCUCACUCCCCAAGCACCAACGGCCUCAGUCCUUCCUGCUGACUCCAGCCUCUAGCUCUCACCCAGACUAUCUGCAUCCUUCUCUCCACCACGCUCCUUUGGAACCUGCGUAAAACACAGAUUAAAGGAAUUCCGCCUUACUUCCCUUUCCGCAUUAUGACCAAAUGGUUUUACACUAUCAUUGAACAGUUUAGUACAAAACAUGCCACCUUUUAAUCUAUUCAUUCAUUUAACAAAUACUUUGGAGUGUUUACCAUGUGCCAAGUGCUGUUCUAAUAGACAUAAGCUGUGAGGUUAUGCUUAUCUGAUUCUCACAGCAACAGCUUUCGAGAUAUGAAUUGGUAUACUCAUUUGACAGAUGAGGAAAUUGAAUUCAUGUAGUGAGAAAGGAAGAGCUGCAAUUCAGGGUUACUGGUUUCUCCUGCACUAAGCACUGAGCCACACUAGAAGAGAAGGCAUGAGGAAGACAAAAGUGAGAAGGUACGAGAGAAGAUAUUAAGUAGAGGUCUAUUAGUUCCUCUUAAAACUAUUUAUGAAAGAGGCGGAUGGGGUAGUGGAUGGGAAAGACAGAUGGAUUCAUGUUCUUCACUCCAGGUUUCCCCCCAUUCCCUUCCCUUUUAAAUGCCUGCUCAUUUUUUGGCUACCUUUCAAGCUCUAGGAAAUACUCUGGAAUUCCAGGCUGGGAGGGGUUUCCUUUGCAGAUCUGGCUAUUGUAACUUUACAAGAAAUUGCUCAAUACUUCCUCUCACCAGUUACAAACCACGGUUUUCUGAAUGAACUUUAUGUUCAUUAAACAGUUAACCCUUCAGCUUUCUGACUCACAUUUUUCAUGUUAUUAAUCAGCUCUUAGAGUAAGGUAAAAUCUAGAACAGACUUUAUAUACACCCUCCCUCCCACACACAUAUACAUACAUAAUACAAACACAGACCACACAUGUCCACAUCCUUAUGCGCAAACACUAAGAAACACACGCAUACACAAACAUACAUGUACACAAAAUUAAAUACAUAGCUAUGGCACUUUCACUAUACAUGUAAACACCCUUACACACAUACAAAUGUACAUGCGCGUGUGCGCACACACAUAUGGAAUUAGCUUUUUCUCUUUGUGGGAGGAGGGAAAUGAAAAGACCCAAAACAUUCAGAUUCCCAAAUGGACACGUAAGAACCCCGUCAUGGAAAUAGGUCUGGGUUUUUUUCUCUUUUGAGGGAAGCAGGGCGUUUCUGGUUACUGUCGCCAUUGCCAUUGUGCCCCUGCUUACCAUCCCCCUGCACCGCCCCCCCGGCCCCCGCCCGCCACUGCUAGGGUUUACAGGUCAUCCCUGGAUUAAAUAAGUGAUAUUGUGUUUUUUUUUCUUUGACACAAAGUAAAAUUAUAAUUAAUAUUGAAUAAAGUAAAAAUGAACUCCUGAGUUCCAGUCCCUUAUGUAACACACCUGGUUUGUGGCAGGCACUCAGGAAAUAUUAGUUGCAUGAACGAAGGCUGCAUUUUCAUUAGAACAACAUGCAGUUCAACCCCUUCAUGUUUCAAUGAGGGUUCAGAUACCCAGAGGGCUAUGCUAUCAUCCUGGAGCCCACUCUGCUAACAAUUAGCAGAACGGAAGCCUUAAUUUCCAGAUUCUAGUGAACUUGAUGAGUCAAGACUAUUGCAAUUGGAAAUCUGUUCUCCUCUGCUGCUGCAUUCCCUGCUUAAUACUCAAGCCAGAAACCAGGAAGGCUGUGGCUUGCCUUUUCACUUCUUGUGUCCUGUUUAAGAAAUAUCUGCUAUCCCAAGCAUCUGGCAUCUUUCUUGACAUAUGUAGCAGUUGCUUUUUGACAGCUUGCUUCUUCAGUGAAUGAAUAAAUUAAUAAAGAGAAAUGUGAUGUUCAGUGAUCCAUUUUGCAGAUUGCAAACUCCUAGAGAAGGGCUCAACAGUGAGUGCUGAGGCUGCACAGAGGAGGAAGGCAGCACAAUGAUGGAAGGCUUCCUAAAGAGAUAACACUAACAAAGUUGACCUUAGAAUUGGAGUGCCUGGGUUAGAACCCUGCUGGUACCACCUGCUUACUGCAUGCUUCUGAUGUGAGUUCAGGAGAAGACACUGGCAAGGACAGCAAAGAACAGGAGAACACUCUAGCUUCCCUGAUAGCAUUCAAGGUGCUGUCCAAACUGACUGUGAUGGCACCCUCCAGACAGACAGCGAUGCCACAUGUUCAAGAUGGCAGAAUCACUAUCAGCUUCAAUUCCUGAAUGACUGCAGAGCAAAAUUUCUUACCUGCAACAUACACUCUAUUUUCAGCCUCCCUGGACUGUUACAUAAUGAUACAUAAAAAUAUUUCUUGUGUUGAGGCAUCCCAAAUUUGAUUUAUUUGUCAUCACAGUCUAUCCUAUGAAUAUAUUUCUGAUCCAAAUAAUGCUAGAUUCAUGAGAGUUUAUAGUCCAGAGAUUUUUUUUUUUUUUUUGAGACAGAAUCUGUCUCCCAGGCUGGGGUGCAGUGGCAUAAUCUUAGCUCACUGCAACCUCUGCCUCCCGGGCUCAAGUGAUCCUCCCUCCUUAGCCUCCAUGAGUAGCUGGGACCACAGGUGUGCACCACCACACCCCGCUAAUUAUUUUGUAUUUUUUGCAGAGGGGGGUUUCACCACAUUGCCCAAGCUGGUCUCAAACUCCUAGACUUAAGGGAUCUGCCUGCCUUGGCCUCCCAAAAUGCUGAAAUUACACUUGUUAGCCAUAGUAAUAGUUCCUAGCCAUAGUCCGGAGAUAUUUUAAAAACUUUAGUGUGAGUUAUUUCUCUUUGCUAUAAUUCUCUCAUGCAUUUUGAAAACCUUUUCUGCCAUACAGUGGUUUUUGGGAAGUCCUUUUGGACAGACAUAUCACAGGAUGGAGAAACUAAAAAGAGAGAAUGCAUUAAAGAAAAAAUAGUACUUCGUAUUUCAGAAAUUACAAAAGGGUGUCAUGCCCCACAGCAUGGUGGGCAGUCAUUUGUAACCCACAGAACAUUGAGUUUCUAAAAUUUGAGUGUUUUUAACUUACGAAGGCCAACUUUACUGAUGAAGUGAUUACCCCAAAUAUGUGAAAUCCAUAUUUCAAGUACAAUAGUAGGAAAUUGGAAAUGGGUAGGUAUAUUUCUGACUGUCAAAGAGUACAAAGUAAAGAGGGGCCCCUGAAGAGUGACACUACUGGAAAAACAGAAGAAAAAAAAAACUGUUUCUUUUUUUAAAGAGCAGUCAACCUCAAACUUACUACUAAUGACUGUAUUUCAUUUCAGUCUACCCCAGUGGUUUUGUUUCUCAUAGACUGUAGAAUGUAAGCCUUUUUGGUCAUUCUGACAGAUUUUCCAGCACAAAGAAUAUCAGGGGAUUAACUGACAAAUCAUGGGUAUUUUUGGCAAGAUAGUAGAUUAACCCUGGAAAUUUUCUCCAUCUAUGAGAAAAAAAGACAUGUGCCACCUGAGGGUUACAAAGACUGUUGGUGGCUGACCUCAGGCUCCUGUCUUUUAUUUUAUUUUAUUUUUUUACCAUUUUACCUCUGCCCUGUUUUUUUAAAUUAUUAUUAUUUUACUUUAAGUUCUGGGAUACAUGUGCAGAACUGCGGGUUUGUUACAUGUGCCAUGGUGGUUUGCUGCACCUAUCAACCCGUCAUCUAGGUUUUAAGUCCCACAUGCAUUAGGUAUUUGUCGUAAUGCUCUCCCUCCCCUUGGGCCCCACCCCUCAACGCGCCCCACCCCUCAACAGGCCCCAGGGUGUGAUGUUCCUCUCUGUGUGUCCUUGUGUUCUCACUGUUCAGCUCCCACUUAUGAGUGAGAACACACAGUGUUUGGUUUUCUGUUCCUGUGUUAGUUGGCUGAGAAUUAUGGCUUGCAGCUUCAUCCAUGUCCCUGUAAAGGACAUGAACCCAUUAUUUUUUGUGGCUGCAUAGUAUUCCAUGGUAUAUGCCAUGUGCCAUGUUUGCUUUAUCAUUGAUGGGCAUUUGGGUUGGUUCCAAGUCUUUUCUAUUGUAAUUAGUGCUGCAAUAAGCAUACGUGUGCAUGUGUCUUUAUAGUAGAAUGAUUUAUAAUCCUUUGGGUAUAUACCCAGUAAUGGGAUUGCUGGGUCAAAUGGUAUUUCUGGUUCUAGAUGCUUGAGGAAUCAUCACACUGUCUUCCACAAUGGUUGAACUAAUUUACACUCCCACAAACAGUGUAAAAGCGUUCCUAUUUCUCCACAGCAUCACCAGCAUCUGUUGUUUCCUGACUUCUUAAUAAUUGCCAUUCUAACUGGUGUGAGAUGGUAUCUCAUCAUGGUUUUGAUUUGCAUUUUUCUAAUGACCAGUGAUGAUGAGUUUUUUUCAUAUGUUUGUUGGCCAAAUAAAUGUCUUCUUUUGAGAAGUAUCUGUUCAUAUCCUUUGCCCAUUUAUUGAUGGGGUUGCUUGAUUUUUUUCUUGUAAAUUUGUUUUCAGUUCCUUGUAAAUUCUAGAUAUUAGACCUUUGUCAGAUGGGUAGACUGCAAAAAUUUUCUCCCAUUCUAUAGGUUGCUUGUUCACUAUGGUGAUAAUUUCUUUUGCUGAACAGAAGCUCUUUAGUUAAUUAGAUCCCAUUUGUCAAUUUUGGCUUUUGUUGCCAUUGCUUUUGAUGCUUUAGUCAUGAAGUCUCUGCCCAUGCCUGUGUCCUGAAUGGUAUUGCCUGGGUUUUCUUCUAGGGUUUUUAUGGUUUGGGGUUUUACAUUCAAGGCUUUAAUCCAUCUUGAGUUAAUUUUUGUAUAAGGUAUAAGGAAGGGGUUCAGUUUCUGUUUACUGCAUAUGGCUAGCCAGUUUUCCUAGCACCAUUUAUUAAAUAGAAAGUCCUUUCCCCAUUGCUUGUUUUUGUCAGGUUUGUCAAAGGUCAGAUGGUUGUAGAUGUGUGGUGUUAUUUCUGAGGUCUCUGUUUCAUUGGUCUAUAUAUCUGUUUUGGUACCAGUACCAUGCUGUUUUGGUUACUGUAGCCUUGUAGUAUAGUUUGAAGUCAGGUAGUAUGAUGCCUCCAGCUUUGUUCUUUUUGCUUAGGAUUGUCUUGGCUAUAUGGGCUCUUUUUUGGUUCCAGAUGAAAUUUAAAGUAGUUUUUUUCUAAUGCUGCAAAAAAAGUCAAUGUUAGCUUGAUGGGAGUAGCAUUGAAUCUAUACAUUACUUUGCUCUGCCCCUGUUUAUACAUACAUGACUGAUAUGGUUUGGCUGUGUCCCUGCCCAAAUCUCAUCUUGAAUUCCCACAUGUUGUGGGAGGAACCUGGGGGGAGGCAACUGAUCAUGGGGCAAGUCUUUGCCAUGCUGUUCUUGUGAUAGUGAAUAAGUCUCAUGAGAUCUGACGGUUUUAAAAAGAGGAGUUCCCCUGCACAAAUUCUCUCUCUUUGCCUGCUGCCAUCCAUGUAAGGCAUGACUUACUCCUCCUUGCCUUCUGCCAUGAUUGUGGGGCUUCCUCAGCCAUGUGAAACUGUAAGUCCAAUUAAACAUCUUUCUUUUGUAAAUUGCCCCGUCUCAGGUAUGUCUUUAUCAGCAGUGUGAAAAUGGACUAAUACAAUGAUACAAGAGUAGUUAGAACAGUAUUUAUAAAUGUGCCAAUGUUAAUCAACAUAGGAGUUAACGAUUCCCUGUUUUUCUGUGAUUUCUCAUGCACCAAAAAUAUAUUAAGAUAAAAUAUACAAUUUUCAUUCACUAUUAAGUGACUAACCUCAUAUUGCUUUCAAAGGCAUUUAUUGGCACCUACUAUGUGUGAAUACACUCAGCUUGCUUAUGUGAAAGCUGAAUAACAAAGUGGUUAUGUAACUUAAUGAAGGUCCCACAACUAGGAAGUGGUAGAGUAACUUUCUAAACCACUUUCCUCCCAGUUUAGUUUCACAUUCAUGUGUUCAGUCAACAAGCACUUAUGGAAUCCUGAUGCUGGGCCCUACUUUAUGGUAGACACUGAAGAUACAGACUUUGUCCCUGCCCUCAUGGAGUUCACAGUUCAGGAGGGAAACCAGAUUUAAUCAAAUAACCACACAAAAAUUUGCUCGUAAAAUGAAACCAAUGCUAUAAGGAAAAUGAACAGGGUGAUUUGAGAGCAUAUAAUAGGAUUUUAUCAUAUCUGAUGAUUCAGAGUAAUGUUCUCCUAUAGAAGAGAUGUGGGAACUGACAUCUGAAGUGUCAGUGUUAGUUAGCCAGGUGUGGUAUAUAAAAGAUGACCAGCUUAUCCACCAAGAGGUAGAAUUGCUUUCCCCAUGCAUUAAAUCUGGACUGGCCUUUGACUUGCAGUGUCCAACAGAUAAAGUGGAAGUUUCUGCUCUUGCUCCCUUGGAAUAUUGUUCUGAGACUGCCAGCUGAAGAAGUCUAGUCUAGUCUAGUUUAUUAGUGGAUGAGAGGCUGGUAGAAAAGCGAAAAACUGUUGCAGCUGAGUCCCCUGAGUCCAACCAGUUGACAGCCUGCAGCGACUGUGUGAGGCCAUCUUAGAUUAUUCAGCCCCACUACAGAUGCCAAAUAUCUGCAGCUGUAAAAGUGAUUCCAGGCAAUAACAGAAGAACCAUCCUGCUGAUCCUAGCCCAAAUUGCUGGCCAUAGAACCAUGAGCUAAUAAGACAGCUGUGGUUAUAAUAUAUUGAGUUUGGGGUUGGCAUGUUACAUGGCAGUCAGUUAUUGAUACCCUGAGAGAAGUAUGGAAGCUGGGACUGAAUUCUAGGAAGAGGGAAAGAUAUAGGCAAAGGUCCUGAGGAGGGAAGAAUAAACUUUUAGAGAACUGAAAGAAAGAUGAUGAGAUAGAAGACUUCAGAGGGCUAGGCAAGGCCCAAGUCUAAAAGCAGUGUCUUAGAAUCUGUCAAAAAUCUCAUCUUUUUAUUGUUGUUUGGAACAAAGUCUUUCUUUAUUGCCUAGGCUGCAGUCAUGCAGUGGCACAAUUAAAGCUCACUUCAGCCUCGACCUCCUGAGCUCAAGCAAUCAGCCUCCUGACUAGCUGGGACUACAGGUGUGGAUGACUAUACCCAGCUAUUUUUUUUUUUUUAUUUUUUGUAGAAACAGGGUCUUACCAUGUUGCUCAGGCUGGUCUCAGACUUCUGGGCUCAAGCAAUCCUCCUGCCUCAGCCUCCCAAAGUGUUUGGAUUAUAGGCAUGAGCUAGCAUGCUCGGCUGUGAGUUCAAUUUUUUUCUUUAAAAGCAAGAGAAAGUCACUGUAGAGAUUUUGAGCUCAGAAGUGUCAUGAAUAGACUUGCACAUGUGCAUAUAUUGUUUUUUUUUUUUUUCACCAGGCGCAAACUUAUGGUGGAAGGGACCUACAUUAAGCACACAUAAGUAGAAGCUGGCCAGGCACGGUGGCUCAUGCCUGUAAUCCCAGCACUUUGGGAGGCCGAGACUGGUGGAUCACGAGGUCAGGAGAUCGAGACCAUCCUGGCUAACAUGGUGAAACCCCGUCUCUAUCAAAAAUACAAAAAAAAAUUAGCCAGGUAUGGUGGGGGGCGCCUAUACUCCCAGCUACUCGGGAGGCUAAGGCAGAAGAACGGC
This 21189-nucleotide long non-coding RNA is filed under the name Homo sapiens (human). RNAcentral's name for it is "HSALNT0143561". Lineage: Eukaryota; Metazoa; Chordata; Mammalia; Primates; Hominidae. The record is from RNAcentral.